CAGGACACAGCCCCAGGGGCAAGCAGCCGGGAUGCUCCUCCCUUCCUCCAAGCAUCCCCCGGCCCGCUGCAUCUCAGCCGGGAUAAACACCCGCUUCCUGCCCUUUAUCAGCUUCAGAGAGGGGCUGGCUGAGGGGGGGUGGGGGGAGGCUAGAAACAAAAAUCUCUGGAAAGAAAAACUCAUUUCCUGCGACAGAAGAAAAAGAUAAAGUCUGGGCUCAUUAAAGUGAACUUUACUGGGGAGAGACGGGAAAGAGCCAAACACAAUGUCCUUGAAAUUUCCUUCGCGCGGCUCUGUCCACGAAAACAGGAUAAGGCCACUUCCGCUGUCUCUGCCCUGCGCGUGUGGGGGGAGCGCAGGGUGGGGGGCGCGGGGCCGUCACAGCUUGUCGAGGUAGGAGCAGACCUGCUGGAAAACCUCAUCCACGGUGCCCUCGGCAUUCAGCUGGCGGACGAUGCCCCGGCCCUUGUAGAAGGCGAUGACGGGUUCGGUAGCCUUGUAGUACGUCUCCAAGCGCUUCUUGAUGGUCUCCUCGUUGUCGUCCACCCGCCCGCUGGUCUCUCCCCGCUUCAGCAGCCGCUUCACCAUCGUCUCCUUCCCCGCAUCCACGUAGAGCAGCAGCGUGGGGGGGGCAAUCUUCUUUUCAAACUCCUCUCCCUGCUUCACCUCGCGAGGGUAGCCGUCAAUGAGGAAACCCUUGGAGGUGUCUGCCUUAGCCAACAUGGCGUCCCGCAGCAUGUCCAGCACCGUGUCCAGGGGAACCAGCUCGCCCUUCUCCAUGAUGGCUUGCAGCUUCUUGCCCCGCUCUGAGCCCGAGCUGACCUCUGCCCGGAGCAGGUCCCCAGUGGAGAGGUGAGUGUACCCAUACUUGUGCACAAUCUUCUCGCAUUGCGUCCCCUUCCCUGAGCCGGGGCCACCCACCACGAAGAUGAUCUUGUGGUGCUUCAGUUUUCUGUCGACAUGCUGCUGCUGUCUGGGUGGAGGAGCACUUCAGGCUGC
RNAcentral lists this long non-coding RNA (999 nucleotides) under Gallus gallus (chicken). The record is from RNAcentral. Lineage: Eukaryota; Metazoa; Chordata; Aves; Galliformes; Phasianidae.